CCUCUUCUUAGGAAGAAUAUUGGUGGCUCACAACUCUUGGGAAAAGUUGAAAUUCCAUGGAGAAGAGUAUUUGAGUCAACAAGAAUGGAGAUAGAGGAGUGGGCAAUAUUCAUGACUACUUCAAAGAAUAUUAAUGAAGAUGUGAAACCUCCAGCAGUGAAGAUAGGAAUGAAGGUUAAAGUAAAUGAGACAAUUAAUAAAAUUAAUAAGUUGAGAAGAUCAUCAUGGGAUGAGUCAUGUAAUUGCAAGGGUUACUGUGAGUGCAAUAGUAGUAUUUUUAGUCUUGAUGAUUAUGAUAUAUUUGCACUUGGAGUUGCUUUAGAUUCCCUUUAAUUCAAGGCCAAAAAUGGACAAAGCACUAAGCUAUGUCCUCUCUAGGAUUAGAUUAAUUCUUGAUUAAUGAAUUAAUUACGAUUCUUGUAUGUAGUUUUGAGAAAUUAAAUUUCAUGGUUUUGAUAGAAUACAAAGAUCUUUAUAUUUUCAGACAAUUUGUAUUCAUGAUUGUACUUCAUUUCCCUUAGUGUGAAUCUUUGACUUCUCUUUUUCAAUUUCAGCAACAAACCCAAGAAAAAGAGUACUUUGGAAGGCAGUUGUCGCGAUUCAAAAGUCGAGAUGAUGAUAAAACACAUUCUAAGAAUUCAAUUUGGUGUGUUUGUAAAAAAAAAAUAACAUAUGAGAGUUUCAAAGAAAAGUCAGGUCACAAUCGAAAGAUAUGGAACACAACAAAGAAAUUAUCAAAAUUUGGCCGGUAUCGUAAGUAUAAAAAGCAUUUAAAACAUUUCUAAAAUUUAGAAUACAUUUCAAGUCUUCUAAAAGAAAUUAAAGAUUGUAAAUAAUAGAUGGAAACCAAUGGCAAUCCAAAAAGCAAAAUCUCACCACAACUCCGAAUUAGAAGAAAUAGCUAAUUUUGAUCAAUCACUACGAAGAUAACCCUGACUACGAUCUGCAUAAAAAAGAAUAACAAAAGUAGGAUUGAGUAAAAUCCACAUGCACCCAAUAGGUUAGACCUGCUAAGUAUAAGCAACUACUCAGGCUUAAGAAAUAAAUUAUGAAACACUUUCACCCGCACAAAAAGUCACAUUUCGGUACCGUUGCCGUCAAUUUUUAUAAUAACGGCAUGAAGUAAACACAUAUCAUAUAAUACUCAAAUUAACAAAUAAGCAAGUUACACAACACAACAAAAUUGAUCAAUGCGAUGCAACAAAAUGAUAAAAUGGUGUAAUGGAUUUAAGGUUGUCACACACCUUGUCGAGCUUUAGCUUCUAGACAAGGAACCAUGGGGGACUCACAGUCCAUAUACCAAUCUUGAAAUCUCAAUAUAUCUCACAACUUUCCACCUAACUCGUGGUCAAGGAUAAAUGUAGGAUAUCUUAUUUUUUAAUUAAUUUUUCAUGUUCGAUUGGUCAAAAUUUUUAAAAAUAUUAUAUCUAUGAAAUUAAACUUUUAGUAAAAGUAGAAAAAUAAAUUCCACAAAUGACAUUUCAUAACUUAAUUUUUUUCCCACCCUCCGACUCACCUCAUCUUCACAUCCAUUGAAGUAGGCCCUACCCCCAUAGUAUAUAUUUAAAUUAUAUAAAAAUACUUUUAAAAUAAUAUCUUUAAUUUUGCGUACAUAUAGACAGAAGAACAUAAAUAAAAAAUCCAUUGAAUUAUUUUCCUAAAAAAACGUAUUUCAAGAGAACAUUUCUUUCCUACCGAAAAGAUAUGGAGUAAAUUUGCAAUUAAUCCUUUAAUUUGAACAAAUAAUGAAUACAAGAUUAAAUUUAGGGAGGCGAAUAUAUGAAUAAUCUCACCAAGAAUAUUCAAAAGAGGAGAUCCAAUAUAGAGUUAUUUAAUCCAUUUAUCUAUAUAUUGGAGAAUUUUUUACCAAACUAAGUUACUAUUUAAACUAGAUCACCAAAAUAAUAUGUUUUUAAUUACAGAACUAGUAUAAACGUAAUUUUGAGUAACCUUUUAGGGCAUUUUUAUUUUAAAAAUUCAAAUGUACUCCGAAAUAACGUUUUAGGUGUAAUUUUUAGCAAUUGCCUCUUUACGAAGAAAAGACUAGCAACCAAAUAUUGAUCCUCCUAGCAUCAUUUCUACCUCAUUAUACCAGCCAGGACACAUUUGUAACUAAUAAGUCAUGCCAGAUGCAGGAUACAACCAAAUGCAGACACCAGCUCCAAAAACAUACUCCCGAGUAACGUUUUAGGUGUAAAACGUUAUUCAAGAGUAUGUUUACUCAUUUAACGUCGUCAGCUUUUGUCAGUUGAAUUUUUAAAAUAAAAAUACCCUAAAACCUUACUCAAAAAUAUGUUUAUACUAGUUUUGUAAAAAAAAUUUAAAACGUAUGUUUUGAUGAAUUAAUUUAAAUAAUGACUUAGUUUGGUCAAAACUUUCAAAAAUUUCCAUCCAUCAAUAUUGCCUUAGCAAAUAAUUUGCAUCCUAUUUUAUUAUAUUACUAGGGUUAACUAAGAAAAAAAGAUAUAAAUGCUUUUAAUUAUAAGUGCAUUAUAGCAGUGGUAAAAUCAAAAUUUUUAAACAAUGUGUUUGAUAUUUUACGUAUAUAUUUAUUUUGAAAACUAAUUUUUAACCUAUAUGCUUCGUAUAAUUUUCUCUAUUAGUUUUUUAGUGAAAGAUAUUCGACUUACCACUCUUUGCUAUAGGUGGCCUCUAUAUGUGGCUAUCAAAAGGGCCUUUUAAAAUAUAAUAUUAAGCUUUAUUCCUUGUAAGUUUUUGGGAAAAUGCAAAAGUACCCCUUUGACCUAUGCUUUAAAUUUCAGAGACACAUUUAUAUUAUACUAAGGUCCUAUUACCCCCUAACUUAUUUAUAAGUAAUUUUUUAUCCUUUUCGACCUACGUGACACUAGUUUGAAAAAAAAUAAGUUCAGGAGGGUAAUAGGACCUUAGUAUAGUAUAAGUGUGUCUUUGAGAUUUCGGACAUAGACUAAGGGAGUACUUGUGCAUUAUCCCUAAGGUUUUUAAAUUUUAUACUCUGAUCUUGACCCAAUCUAUAUUAUUCAAGUACAAGUAGUUGUGACUAACAUUUUUAUACUCUCUUGACCCUAAUUUAACAUGAGGAAAUGUAUCUCUUAGCCCAUUAGAACUCUUAAAGAAUGUGUCACAAAGAGAGUCUUUUUGACAAUCUUAUCAUGUAUCUAUUCCAUACAAUUAAAAGAUUUAUAGAACUCUUUCAUUGACCAAAUGACUUUAUAUUAUAAUGAAUAAAAGUCAUAUGUUAUAUGCAAUGCCAUAUUUUAAUAGCAGUUUGGAGAUUCAAAUCAACCCACUAAGCUCUUAGUUGACACAUCAACAUGCAUUCAACCUUAAUACUUAUCUCAAGAGUUGUUUCACACAUUUUUUUUAACCUUUCAAGAUAUUGAAGAGUUUUUUGUAAAUUUUUUACAAAGGCAAUCUUUUAUAUGAUCCUCAUAGGAUUCUCAUCAAAUCCUUUCAUAGAUUAUUAGCACUAAUCCUCAUUGGGUGGGUGGUUUUCUUUUUAACUUGUAUUUUAUAAAAAUAAAUAAAUAAAUAAUCCUAGUUAGCUAGCUACUUGCCACUUUCCUUCCACUGUCCAAAGUAAAUAACUAUUUUCUUAACUAUAAAUACCCCCACUAACUACAUGUUUCCCAUCACCAUAACAAACUCAACCAUCUCUCAAGAAAAUAAAACAACCCCAUCAAACAAAGAUUCUAAUUUAAUUAAUUUUUUCAUGGAGAAUACUCAUGAUUUUUCAUCUAUAAGUUGUGAAAUACAAAUCAUAAUAGCAAGAAACAUAGAACAAAUAAGUCCAUUAGGAAAAAACAACUUGUUUGUUAGAUGUUAUCUUCCAACAGGAAACAACAACCAAAGAGUUAAGCUAAACACUCAAGAGAUCUCAUCAAAAUCAAACUUGUUUUGGGAUGAAUCUUUCUCAUUGGAUUGCAUGGGAACUCAAGACUCCAUUAACAUGAUGAAGCAAGGAACAAUCAUAUUCGAGCUACGAUCAAGAAGAUAUGUUCCUCUUCUUAGGAAGAAUAUUGGUGGCUCACUACUCUUGGGAAAAGUUGAAAUUCCAUGGAGAAGAGUAUUUGAGUCAACAAGAAUGGAGAUAGAGGAGUGGGCAAUAUUCAUGACUACUUCAAAGAAUAUUAAUGAAGAUGUGAAACCUCCAGCAGUGAAGAUAGGAAUGAAAGUUAAAGUAAAUGAGACAAUUACAAAAAUUAAUAAGUUGAGAAGAUCAUUAUGGGAUGGGUCAUGUAAUUGCAGGGGUUAUUGUGAGUGCAAUAGUAGUAUUUUUAGUCUUGAUGAUUAUGAU
This 4276-nucleotide long non-coding RNA is filed under the name Solanum lycopersicum (tomato). RNAcentral's name for it is "long non-coding RNA (SLYC_LNC000064)". The record is from RNAcentral. Lineage: Eukaryota; Viridiplantae; Streptophyta; Magnoliopsida; Solanales; Solanaceae.